This 274-nucleotide ribosomal RNA is filed under the name uncultured bacterium. Its description in RNAcentral is "partial 16S ribosomal RNA". It matches the Rfam family "Bacterial small subunit ribosomal RNA", at positions 523 to 796 of the family's 1533-position model. The record is from RNAcentral.
AUACGGAGGGUGCAAGCGUUAUUCGGAAUCACUGGGCGUAAAGGACGCGUAGGCGGGUUGGCAAGUCAGAUGUGAAAUCCUACAGCUUAACUGUAGAACUGCAUUUGAAACUGCUAACCUAGAGUAUGGGAGGGGGAGAUGGAAUUAGUGGUGUAGGGGUAAAGUCCGUAGAUAUCACUAGGAAUACCGAAAGCGAAGGCGAUCUCCUGGAACAUAACUGACGCUAAGGCGUGAAAGCGUGGGGAGCAAACAGGAUUAGAGACCCUAGUAGUCC